UGGGGUAUAUUGGACAAUGGGCGAAAGCCUGAUCCAGCCAUGCCGCGUGUGUGAAGAAUGUCUUCGGAUUGUAAAGCACUUUAAGUUGGGAGGAAGGGCAGUAAGCGAAUACCUUGCUGUUUUGACGUUACCGACAGAAUAAGCACCGGCUAACUCUGUGCCAGCAGCCGCGGUAAUACAGAGGGUGCAAGCGUUAAUCGGAAUUACUGGGCGUAACGCGCGCGUAGGUGGUUCGUUAAGUUGAAUGUGAAAGCCCCGGGCUCAACCUGGGAACUGCAUCCGAAACUGGCGAGCUGGAGUAGGGCAGAGGGUGGUGGAAUUUCCUGUGUAGCGGUGAAAUGCGAAGAUAUAGGAAGGGAAACCAGUGGCGAAGGCGACCACCUGGGCUCAUACUGACACUGAGGUGCGAAAGCGUGGGGAGCAAACAGG
Molecule: ribosomal RNA, 429 nt
Filed under: Pseudomonadota bacterium
Lineage: Bacteria; Pseudomonadati; Pseudomonadota
Description: Proteobacteria bacterium partial 16S ribosomal RNA
Rfam family: Bacterial small subunit ribosomal RNA
Source: RNAcentral